RNAcentral lists this small RNA (29 nucleotides) under Bombyx mori (domestic silkworm). RNAcentral describes it as "piRNA piR-bmo-1625131". Lineage: Eukaryota; Metazoa; Arthropoda; Insecta; Lepidoptera; Bombycidae. The record is from RNAcentral.
UGGACGUAUACUUGGCACAGGACAUCGUC